UGCCUGCUGGGUGUGGCCUUUCUGUCUCCAUUUGUCGACCGUCAUUCAUAAAUUAGUUGUCAUAAGACUCAUUCGUAGGCUUUGGUUGAUUUGGACCCCCUGACUUCCCUUAAUUUUGUUGGGUAAAACAAAUCAACCAAACAUUGGGACACAAAUUGCUUGUUUGUCUUUUUUAACUCUUGUCGGUCGUAUUGUAAAUUCCAUCGAAU
RNAcentral lists this long non-coding RNA (209 nucleotides) under Mytilus galloprovincialis (Mediterranean mussel). The record is from RNAcentral. Lineage: Eukaryota; Metazoa; Mollusca; Bivalvia; Mytilida; Mytilidae.